UUUAUUUACCUUUCAAAAAAGCUAAUAAUCUUUAAACUCCCUUUUUUUUUUAAAAAAAAAAAGAACCCUUAAUCUGCUCAGUUAGGGUUGGUUCAACACACUGCCGCCAAACCACCAUCAGUUCGAUGGCCGACGGCGCGAAAUACCAGACUCUACCGACAGGGGUUGCAACCACGGAGAUUUGGUAAAUCACUUCUUUCCCUUCUUUUUUUUAAAAAAAAAACUUCAAAUCGUAUUUCACUCUUUCAAAAAAAAAUAGCAAAACUUCAAAGUGAAACGUUCAACCCUCGCCCGAAUCUCCUUAUUUUCGAGAUACUUGAGUGUUCAUCGGUGUCGUUUCAGAUGUUUCUUUCUUUUAUUGCAAAAAAAAAAGAACGCAAGCAAAUGAGGAAAGAAACAAAAGAAUAAACGGACUUGAAAAAAAAUCACCUCUUGAUUUGAUAAUUUCUGCCUAUUCUAUUUCUUUGCUGUAUGUGCGUUUUUGUGUGUAUCUGAAAAAAAAUACAUGGCUUAUUACAUGGAUUUUUAUAGCCGAAAACAGAGAAAAAUGAAAAAAGAAAAUACAAAUUUCUUGUUUUUUUCUCUCUGCUGUGUUGCGAUGCUGUUCUUGUCUUCAUGCAGGUACGAGGGAGGACAUGGAGCACGGAGGUGGUACGGUCACUGGAGGCUUGUACGGCACUGGAGGUUGCUGCGGCACUAAGCAAAUGGGGCUAGGGUUAGGGUUUCCAAGAACUUUCAAAAGAUUGGUCCUAUCGGGCUCUAUUUUUGGGUCUAGGUUAAUAUUAGUUGUUGGGCCAUUGAGUAUUGGGCUAAAGUCUGUAAAUAGACAUUUAAUGGACUAUAUAUUAUUGUAUUUUUCAUUUUGUUUUCGUGGUUUUUGUUUGAUUUGUGUUUGCACUGGCCCGAGCCAAAAUUGGGGAUUACAGUUGCCUCUCUUUGCUCAUUGUCGUGUAACGAGAAUGGAGCAAAGACUACAAAAAGGUCAAUUUUGCCCGGUCCUGUAGAAUCUUGAUUUCUUUGGUGCUUCUCUUCUUUGAGGUAGCUUUGUUCCAAUCAUCUGCAACUUCAGGGGUGUAGGAAUUGUCGCUCCAAUCUACUCCACUGUAACUCUAGAGAUAUAAGAUUCAUCAUCUUCGAUCUGCACCACUGCAACUUCGGGGAGACAAGAUCUACAAUCUUCAGCUUGUUACCCUACGGCUUAGGGAGUUAAGGCUUGCUUAAAUCUGCUUCACUGUAACUUUAGGAAGCCAAGAUUCGUUGUCUUCGAUUUGCUCCACUGCAACUUCAGGGAGACAAGAUCUACAAUCUUCAGCCUACUCCACUACAACUUUAGGGAGCUAGUACUUGCUUAAAUCUGUUUCACUACAAAUUCAGGAAGCCAAGAUUCGUCGUCUUCGAUUUGCCCCACUGCAACUUCAGGGAGACAAGAUCUACAAUCGUCAGCCUACUCCACUACAACUUUAGGGAGCUAGGACUUGCUUAAAUCUGCUUCACUACAACUUCAAGAAGCCAAGAUUCAUCGUCUUCGAUUUGCUCCACUGCAACUUCAGAGAGACAAGAUCUACAAUAUUCAGCCUACUCCACUACAACUUUAGGGAGCUAGGACUUGCUUAAAUCUGCUUCACUGCAACUUCAGGAAGCCAAGAUUCAUCGUCUUCGAUUUGUCCCACUGCAACUUCAGGGAGACAAGAUCUAUAAUAUUCAGCCUACUCCACUACAACUUUAGGGAGCUAGAACUUCCUUAAAUCUGCUUCACUGCAACUUCAGGAAGCCAAGAUUCGUCGUCUUCGAUUUGCCCCACUACAACUUCAUGGAGGCAAGAUAUAUAAUAUUCAGCCUACUCCACUACAACUUUAGGAAGCAAGGACUUGCUUAAAUCUGCUUCACUGCAACUUCAGGAAGCCAAGAUUCGUCAUCUUCGAUUUGCCCCACUGCAACUUCAGGGAGACAAGAUCUACAUUCUGUUUCAUAGGCUUAUGCUUAUGCCAAAUAAUUAGGAUGCUAUGAUCAACAUGAAUCAAUUGUUCCUAACUAGAUGUGAUGUUUAUGUCAAAUAAUUAGAAUGCUAUGAUCGAAGUGAAUCAAAUGCUCCUAACUAGAUGUGUUACGAAUGAUAUAUGAAUACGAAAAUGAAAAUGAUCCAGGUAUCAUUGCUCGUUCAUCAGGGCAUUAUCACUGACGUAUUACGCGGCCAUCUUGUUCAGCUGGUAUUCUUGACAGAAAACCCAAAGAAACAAUCUCAAUCUACUCGGCAAGCUUGCCCUACUGAAACUUUAUAGAGUUUUUGCUUAUCCAACCCACUGUAACUCAGGGUAUAGAAUCAAUUUGAUUUGUUACAUCAUUCUUCGGGUGUAAUGACCCUGUGUGCAUGUCUGAUAUUUGCGUGAAUGCAGAAUAUCAUUUUUCUUUUCCUGAGAAUGAUCCCCUCUCACACUUGGAUUGACAUUGCUCGUCAUUUGUUGAUGUUGUAUCACCGACGAAAUAUCUUGCCUCUUGGUUAAUCGAUAUCUUUAAUAGAAAAUUCGAAGAGAUAGCCACAAUUUAGACUCUCUUUUCUCAAACAUCUCCAUCCCUUAGGAUUGGUGAGUUCUCAACAACAGUCCUGUUUCAGGUUCUUGUACUAUUUAGAAGCCUCCCGAGUAAUAUGCAGAACUUCUUUUAUGAAAGUCUUAUUGGUCCAUUAAUCAUUAUUUCAAUGCAAAAUGCUCGAAAAAUAUCAAAAAAAUAGACAAGAAGGAAAUUGGGUAAGAGCACGGCUUGAAACAAAUAAGUUAAUCAAAGAUUGCAAAUGCAAUAAGAAGGAAAUUAACUCAACAUGAAUAAGUUAAUCAGAGAUAGCAAUGCAAUAAGAAGGAAGUUUAUUUGGAGCAUAUUUUGAAAUGAAUAUAGUAAUCAAAGAUAGUAAAUUCAGUGUGGGUAAGAUGAAAACUAGGUGCCCCAGAUAUCGCAGCCCGAGCUUCUCUGUACAAAUUUCUUGAGGUCCAUUUUGAGCUCAAUAUGUAUUCAGGGGAUCCAGAGUACUUUGUCGAUGCCCUGAGACGUAGCAUACUUCUUCAUUGUUAAUUUAGGCAUAGCAAGACUGCUGUGUGCCCUACUUUGAUCCAAAUUUGAGCCGCCUUUUCCAGGUUUUCAACUAAAAUCCCCUUUGGUCUCAAGGCGCCCUUUGCGGGUUUUCGCCUUGGCCUCUCCUUUUCUUUUCUUUUCUUCUUUUUCUUUUUCUUUUUCUUAUUAUUAUUAUUAUUGUUUUUUUUAUGGUCUCAAAGCGUCCUUUGCAGGUUUUUGCCUUGGCCUUUCACUUCCCCCUGAAGUCCUUUUGUAUAAAAAUUAUCUUUUUCCACGCCAGGUCCUCCUUGUGGAAUUCUUUAGGAUGAACCUUUCUGACGUAGGCUUGCGUUAUUCAUUUUUGGUACAUUGGGCCAUGAAAAAUGGCUUUCAAUCUCCUUUCUUCAAAUUCAACUGAUCACAUCGGGAUUGGAUCUAUUCUGCCUGAUCCAACUUCAAUUUUGACAAGACUUGGCCGAAAGAAAUCUCGUUUUCGAAAUCGUUUCUAUCCCAUUAAGCAAACGAGCAAUGUAUUGCCUCGGCAAGGUUCUGGCUGACGUUCGAUAAGUAUAGAGGGUAAAUGGUAACUUCUUUAUGCCAAUCUUUACAAGCCUCAAUUAUCUUUCACGAUUUUUGCUGCGUUAUGAUAUGGAGUCUGAUCUUUGAACAGAUUGCCAACUUCUGACAUUGAAUCUUUGUGACGUUCUUUAUAGGUACCUAAUCUCUUUCUCUCUUUCUUUCUUUCUUUUCUUUUCUUUCUUUCUUUCUUCUUCCUUUUUUUUAUGACUAUCGACUUAGUAACAUUGGCAUAUGAAAUGACUUUCACCCUUUCCGUAAAGUAAUCGACGACCUCAAAGAUGAAUCGGUAUCGGUUAGAAGCUUUUGAUGAGAUCAGCCCCAUAAUAUUCAUGCCCCACAUAUAGAAAAUUUGUGAAGAAAUUGAAGAGGCAUAAAAGUCUUGUCUUCUUCCGUUUGGCAUUCGCCGCUUGACUGAUACGAUCCCCUUCCAUGUUGGAUCAGCAGCACUCAAACCUCAUGAUUAGUCUGGCUAACGUAAAGCCAUUAGCAUGUGUUCUUUUAACACUCAUAUGGACCCUUGUUAGCCCAGGCAUAUCUUGAUACGAUCUUGUGAAAAUAUCUUAGUAUUCUUGACACCUCGCUUUGUCUAUGUGGUGUUAUACACUCCAAUCUUUAUCUCUUUCUUUUCUCUUAGGUUCACGACGUCCAUUGCCCCUUUGUAGGGUAGGAUCUAUUUCUUAUCUUGUUCUACCAUCCUUGACAAAUCAGGAGAUAGGCUACAAUCUCUAUCAUCUUCAAGGUCCUGAGAUCCCUCUAGACACAUAUCUUGCUCAAAAAGAGACUCGAAAUUAGUAACAGCAUCGCUCACGUCAUUGAUAUCUGGAGACCUGUUGUAGGUACGAAGGCAGAUUCCAAAGAAUAAAUGAUUCUAAGGAUGAUUAUUUGUAUGGUAUGAUCAUGAAUGAAAGAAUCUAAGAAUAAUCGUUUGUACAGUAUAAAAUAGAAAAAAUAAAAGAAUAUUUACUCAAAACGAUAACAAACAUGUAUUUCAUUGAAAUAAAGGUUUUGGAUAUAAGCCUAUUUCACAAAAGGAUUCUUUUUGCUUCUAGGCUUAAAACAACAAGUGUGUUUUGAAUAUUACUCUAGAUUAGCUCUAAAAAUACAAGGAUCCUUUUCACAGUCCCAUUGUUUAAAACACCCUAAGUACGUAAGGGCAAAAGCUUGGAAAAGUCUACUCCCGGGUUCCCUCUUCUGAUACAUCGUUAAUGUCCAGAUUCCUCAAUACCAGGUCUUGCAUUAGAGUCCUGAGCUCGAUGCACCCUCAGAUCUCAUGCCCCUAUCCAUCAUGGAACUCAUAACGUCCACCUCUUUAACAGAAAGGUUGGACAAUAGAUUUCCUGCUCCAGAGGGACCAUCGAAUUUCACGAUACCCAAUUUAAUAAAUCUUUCGAUUAGCUUUUUAAAAGCGGUACAAUUCUCGAUGGAAUGCCCCGUGAUUCCCGCAUGGUAUUUACAUUGGGUGCUUGCAUCGUACCAUUUAGGGUAUGGGAGUUGUAUAGGUUUUAUGUAAAAAGGGGAUACAACAUGUACGUCGAACAAAAUGCGGUACAACUCUCCGUACGUGAUUGGAAUGUGCAUGAAUUGGGGUUUUUCUAAGUUCAAUCUUUGACUAGGUUCUUGCCUUGGGGAGGCCUGAUGGUCGGUAGUUACCAUCCUUGGCUGGCUUACUAUAAUUGGCUCCGAGCAACCCUUGUUAUACCUACUCGCACUACUUGCUAUCUUCUUCUUUAGGGCCUUUAAAGUCCACUCUCCCCUUUCCUUCGUUUCUGACAGAACGACUGGCUUGGCUCGAUCAUCUUUUGGGUUAAAACCUGAACCCAUCGGAAAGCUCAACAGUACCGAUGUAUCCGUCUGAUAUUUGUGUCCGAUAACAACGGGUACCCCUUGCAUGUCUGGUUGGGUCGGGAUGCUUAUUGGGGUAAAGCUUGGGGAAUAGAUGAUCUCUUCGAUAUCAUCCUCACUAUUGACCACUAGGCCACUCUUUUUUUCAAAUUCUCCGGCCAGUAACUGGGUUGACUGGCCCAUCAUAUUUUUUUGGAGUUCUAUCAUUUCUCGCAUAUUUUGUUGAAUUUUGAUCAAUUGCUCUUGCAUCUGUAUUUGCCUUUGCUCCAUUAUCUCUAACCUUUGGUCUAUAUCCUUUGUCGGUUCUGAAAUAAUUUUACCUAAUUAGGGUCCUUCUAGGAAAAUUUAAUGCAAAUGAUGCAAUGCAAUGCAAAUGCAUGGGAUGAAUGCAAAGGAAAGAAAGAUGUCGAUUUUGAAUUCAAUUCCCUUAGAACAACUUUUCUAGAAAACAAAUUCUUUUACAUAAAACGAAUUACGUAUACGGCCUUGUUUUCGUAUUCCAGGCGAAGGCAUUGAUCCCCUUUCUUCCUGAAAGUCAAAUCUCGUAAGCUUCCAAUGCAUGCCUCUACUAGCUCCUUUUUGCUUGAUCCAGGCCACGAAUUACUAUCCUCGCCAUGUUGAUUAUCUCCUUUAAGAAAGUCGAGACGCGACGAUUUUUUGAAUGAUCUUUAUCAGCUUGAAUCCUUAGGUAAAGUUUUGUUUUCCUCCAUGAACUGUUAGCCUUCUUCUUUCGUGUUCACUUGGACCAAAUUCGGGCAACCGUAUUGUAAUAUGCUUUAUUAAGAAAUUCUUUUUCUUAUGACAAACUGUUCUAUUUAGCAAUCGUAUAUGAACCAACACCUUCUUUCUAUAAUGAUGCAAUGCAAUCAUCGACAAAAAAAACAAAAUACAUUAGUACAGUAGAAAUAAAUGACAAAUAAAGCACCUAUUCGGGUGAUCACUAGGGGUUCGGAGUGGCUCUACCUAGGGUAAGCUCCUAGGUCUCUCUACAUGUGGCUCGGUUCUAGAGUAAGAGUACCCGAACCAACAGAUUCCUCAAUCCUCACCCAUUAUAGGCUUAUAUAGAUCGAGUUCGGUUCAGGAGGAUACAUUUCCCUAUGACCAUGCGAAGAUGAAAAUCUCAUGAAAUCAUAGGUACGGAUGUACCCCGAAAGCAAUCCACUAGCCCAUGCGGAGGUGAAAACCUCACGAAAGCAUAGUUUCUUACUCCCACUUAGAGGGUGUGACAACAGCGGUCAUGCAAUGAAAUGCAAUAUUAUUCUAUAAGACCCGAUGUAGCACCCCAAACCCGGCCCAGACGUUAUGACCGGAUCCGACAUGCCACAUCGAAGCGUUCAAAACAUUUUAUAUUGUUGAUCCAGAAAAACUUACUUAGUGUUUUAAAAGAUAAUUUCAUUAUGGGUUAAAGUGAAUGGAAGCUGUGUACCAGGUAGGAAACCGGAAAAGAGGUGGUGAGUCCAUCGGACUGCUUAAGUACCAAGCUCCCUUCGGAUCCAAUCCUAGACAUGCAUACCGCCAUUGCCACACCUUAACGUCAUGGAUAUUUCUAGGAAACCGAUUUGAUUAAGUCAUUUUUAGGAAAAGUGAUUAAUUUUGAAAAAUGCUUUCAUUGCGGAAACUUUGCUUGUUGUCGUGUUAUUUUGAAAUCAAUUGUUGUUUUUGAAAACGUGCCCUAAAGCUAUCCAAUUUCAACAGUUAAAAUAAGUAAUACCUAUCUUAGUAAUACAUAUUAAAACCAUCAAAAAUAAUUAAGCGGCCUUAUUACAUUUAAAAACCCAAAACUUCAAACGUAAAUAAAAGGAUGUCCAGUUCACCAGAAGAAAAUCAAACUUUCAGAACGGGUGGCCACUCCGAAUUCCCUCACAGCUCCAAGCCCACUAUGGUUGGGGAUUACCUGCGUGGAUGAAAAUAAAAGGGGUGAGUUUGGGGAAACUCAGUGUGUAAGGAAAACCCAUUCAAAGCCCAAGUCAGCUCAAGCCUAUUGGGACUAAGCCCAUUCAGGUAACAGUGGUACUGGACCAGAGCCCUUUUUAGAUUACAAUAAACUGGGCCUUAGCCCCUUAUUCAGAUAACAGUAUGGCCCAUAGGCCCAUUUCAAAAUACAUGCAACAUCAAUAACAUAUGCAAGCCCAUUUGGGGAGACUACUCAACCCACCAACCACUACACUCCACCCGUACCAGCCCUACACUCCAUGUGGGGAAUAGCUCAACCCGCCCAGCCCAACACUCCACAGUUGCAGCCUUGCUGCUCAGUUAACAGUAAAUUGAGGCAAAGCCUCUAGUACGUGGACAAGCCACUUUCAGUACUUCCUCCGUCAAUAUUCCAAUCCCAUGCAUCAGAUAAUAACAACAUGGCAUGCAGUAAAUAACAACAGUCAAACAUGCAUUUAGGUCAAUUUAACCCUAGGGGUAUUUCGGUAAUUUAUCUACUAGGGGUAAAACUGUAAAUUUUCCACUUUUAAAAGUAUUUCAGUAAUUUAUCUAUUUUAGGGUUUUUUAUGCAUAUUCCUACCUUUCACGUACUACAGAAUCACGUACCGAGGGUUCUUACCGAAUUGGGCCCGUUGGCCCAUCAUUCCAAAUUUUGGCCCAUUAAGCCCAAAAAUAUCGAGGGCACAGAAAUCAUGCACUUUGCAGUCCAAACAUUGCAGCUUACCAAAAACAUUAGUCGAUUUACCUCACGAGCAUUCGCACACUCGCAAAUCUACAAAAUACCGGUUUUCGGCAUUUCAGAUUUUCGACUUUUACCGAUCUAGACUAAGAAAGAGGGUGUUAGUUGCACACCUGUUUGCGACGAUAUGCUGACGAGAUCCACACACGAACCGCCUACAAUUGGAUUACUAACACGUUAAUCAACUAUUCAAAUACAAACUACGUAUUAACCCCUUACAAUAUUCGGCCAACCACCCCUACAGAUCAUAGUAAGCUUAUAAGAAAUCAAUAAGCAACUCAUUAACAAAUUUUUGUCAAUGUUUACCACAUAAUCAUAAUUUCACUGCAAGCUGUCUUCCUGAGCAACAGUCACUAGAUCAUUUAUAACUGGAGCUACGAAACUCCAAAUCAAGUGCCGUUAAUUUUCCCUGAAAAUAGACUCAUAUUUCUUAUAUCCAGAAAAUUUUCAGAAUUUUUGGUUUGGCCAAUCAAUACCAGAUUUUUCUCAAAGUUUUGCAUGUUUCACUGUUUGACUAAUCUGACCACUCUUCAUUACGAAUCAAAUUUCUCAUUGUACAGAAUUCAAAAUAUGUUCUCGUUUAUUCCAUUUGAAACUAGAUUCAUUAAGCUUUAAUUACAUAAUUUAUGCAGCUUCUAACUGAUCUCCCACAAUUUAUGGUGAUUUUUCAAAGUCACGUUACUGCUGCUGUCCCAAGCAGAUUUAUUACCAAAUCACUCUUUCACACAUAACUUGCAUGCAUGUUUUUUUUUAAACAUGUAUAUCACCAAUCAAUCAUCACAUAUCUAUGAUUUUACUUAAGUAUAAUCUCCAUUUCAUCAUUUUAAAGCACAACAUAUUAGCCGAUUUUUCCCCUUAGCAUCUAAGCACAUGCAUGCUCAUUUGUUUGGCUCAACUUCACCUAUCUUCCAUUUUUCAUCAAAAGAACAUGAAACAACAACCAUUUCCUUCAUUUUAAUUCAUGACUAAAUGCUCACAACACAACUAAAAACCAAAAUAUGCUUCAAGAGUUAAGGUAGAAUCAAGAAGAACUCAUGAACAUCAAGAUAGAAGCAAACUACCAUGAACUUACCUUCAAUUUUCUUCCCCAAGUGACCGAACAUUCAAGAGCUUUCUCCUCUCCUUUCUCUUCUCUAACUUUAGGCUAUGAUGAACAAAGAUGGACAAAACUUUGUUCUUUUCACCCCUUUUUCUUUUAAUAAAAUUUCAUAUUUCAUCCAUUUAAUUCUUUAAUACAAAAGACAUGAAAUUCCAAUCAUUGAACAUUUACCUAACCCAUUAUCAUGGAACAUUUACCUAACCCAUUAUCAAUUUGUAUCAAUUUGUACCAUAAAUUAUGGAUAUCAAGUGCACAUUUUGUCUACAACAACAUGAUGGCUGGCCACUUCAUGUAAAAUGGGAGGUUUGUCAUGCACUCCUAUUUAUUUGGCCACUUCAAUUUAGCCUAUAGCAUUUUCAAACAUUUUCACAUAGGUCCUAUUUCAUAAUUUCACUCACAAAUGACAAAAUUAAAAGCAUGAAAUUUUGCCAACAUUCACAGAAUUCUCGAAAAUUGGGGCGUUACACCCGAACCAUGGCAAUCAUACAAAAAAAUGCAAUUAUGAUUUUCAAAACAAAUUUUCAAUAUUUCGACAAAAGGACAACAAAUAAUGGAUUUUAUGGCUAGACUCUCUAGGUUAGUCCCCAUUGGAGUCGCCAAGCUGUCGAAACCACCUUAUUUAAAUUUUAUAUUUAAAUGAAAAGCGAGGAAUCGACUUUUGAAAAUAAAACAUGGAGUCGCCACAUAUCUUUUUGUUUAGGUGUGAUCGGAUCACCUAAUAAUUUGGUUAUUUUAAUAAAACAUUUUUUAUUUAGUAAAACAACGAUUUUGCUCUACGAACUUUUGAGAAAACGGGUUCAAGAGUCGGUUAUGCAUGAGGAAGGAUUAGCACCCUCACUACGCCCAAAAUUGGUAGCAAAUCAAUUAAAUGUUGUCCUUAUGUAAAAUGUUUUUGAAAUGUGGUUCCUUUUCGAUAAUAUUUGAAAUACCCGAGUUGGUUAUCAAAAUUCUCUUACUUAAGAGGAAUAUAGCACCACAUCCAGCACAAUAGGCCCUCGAAAACAUGAUAAAUUUUGACUUCCGAAAAAUUUGUAAGUUGAAAACCGCAAAAGGAUGCCCAAUUAUCCGGUCCAACGAGAAAAUCGAAACCCAGCAUAGUAGGGCACGACUCCUCGAAUUUCUAGACAUCAGAUAUUGCCUUAUUUUAGAAUUUAGAGAGUAUGAGUGAAAUUCUAAAGGAAUCUUCGAUCAUUGAACGAACGGGAAAUCGCAACCUAGCACAAUAGGGCACGAUUCCCGAAUUGCCAAACAUCGAGUAUUACCUUAGUUUUAAAGAGUUUUUAGAAGACAUGAACAAAAUUCUAAAGGGACAGUCGAUUACUUUGAGCAAACGAGAAAUUGCAACCCAGCACGUUAGGGCACGAUUUCGCGAAUUGUCAAAUAUCGAACAUCGCCUUCGUUUUAAAGGAUUUUUAGAAGACAUGAACGAAAUUUUGAAGGGAUAUUCGAUCAUUUUGAGCAAACGAGAAAUUGCAACCUAACACGUUAGGGCACGAUUCCGCGAAUUGCCAAAUACCAAACCUCGCCUUCGUUUUAAAGAAUCUUUAGAAGACAUGGGUGAAAUUUUGAAGGGAUAUUCGAUUAUUUUGAGCAAACGCGAAAUUGCAACCCAGCACAUUAGGGCACGAUUCCGCGAAUUGCCAAAUAUCAAAUCUCGUAUUCGUUUUAAAGAAUUUUUAAAUGAAUAAUUAUAAAACUAGCUUAAAAUGUAUUAAUGUGUUUUUGAAAUGAGACGAAUUUAAUCAUAAAAAUUUGGAUUUUAAAAAAACCACAUCUCAAAACCAAGUAGAAAACGACGAUACGGGGUAACAGGCACACUUGAGAUACGAUACUUGAUGAAUGAGAAUAUUAAUCAACUAGCAGAAUAAGCAAUUAAAUAUGAUUAAUCUAAAAAAUCAUAGCCUAAUUUCAAUCACGUAUGAAGAACAAUUAACAAAUCAAUAAGAUGAAUACCAUGCAAUGAUAAUAUAUAUUCAUGUUAUAAUAUAUAAAAAAAACAACAAGAUAUGUGGAAAGCAAAAUGGAAUGUAGAAAUCAAAAUGGUAUAAGAUUAAUAAACUUAAGAUAUAUAGGUUGACAAGUUUGAAUAAAAACUAGGGAUAUAUAAAAUAGAUAUUAUAAAAUAAAAGUUUGAAUCAAAUUGCGUGUAUAUUUUAGACACAAAUUCAUUUAAAAGUUAACAAAGUACAUGCUAAUUUAAUAUAUAAUACAAAAGAAUAAUAAAGAUAUAUGACAAGACAUAAUACACAAAAUAGAUUUAUAAAACAUAUGUACAUGUAAAUUUAUUAUAAAAAAUCAUGAGAUUAAUAAUAAUAUAUAUAAAUUUUAAGUUAUUCUAAAAAUUAUAUACAUACCCUUAUAUCAAAACAUUUAAAUAAGAGGCUAUAUAAAACACAAAAGUAAUAUAAUAUAAAGAAAUAUUCAAAAAUAAUAAUUUUAUAAUUACAAAGAUGAAGUUUCUAAAAUUGUUUCAUAUAUACCUAAUUAUUAAAAUAUAUGUUAUGGAAUAAAUAUUUUUAAUCGAAUAAUAUACAAAAUAUUGAAGAAUAUUGGCUUAAAAUUGACAAUUUUCAUAAAAACAAAUUUAAAUUAUGUACCAAAUAUGAAAAGGUUAAAAAAUGUAUAAUAAAAUAUAAUCUUAGAAAUAUAAUAAAUUUACAAAUCAUAUAUAUAUAUACAUAAAUAACUUUAGAAGUAAUUAUUUGUAAAAACAUGGAAAUGCACACAAGGUUAAAUUAUUUUUACUACAUGUAUAUAAAUAUGUAUAAAAGUAUUUAAAGAUGUUAGAAUUAUAUGAUAUAAAGAGGAAAUUCAAACAAUAAUUUUAUAAUCACAAAAAAAAAUUUAAAAUAACAGCUUAGCUAUUAAAACGGUGCAUGUAUAAAUAUCCGCAAAAUAUUUAAGUGAGAUGUUAUACUAAAUGCAUAAAUAAUAUAAUAAAAGGAACUCCAAAAUAAUUAUCCAAUUAAAAACAAAGCAAAAUUAUUAAAAUAAAUCAUCUAAAAAAUAUUAAACGGAUUUAAAAUAGUAAUUUAUAUCAAUAAAACUCAAUUAUAACUGAAUAAAAUUUAAAGGGAUAACUUGUAAAUAAAAUAGAGUAUUAAAAUAUAAAAAAGGACUAGCAUGCCACGAACGCGAAUGCUCAGGGACCAAAUCUGAAAAUAUUCCAGAUCCCAAAAUGCUGCAUAGUAGCGUGGGCUAAACUGAUAUGAUUUCUUAAUCCAGAUGCCAUUUAAAAAAAACAACUAAAGUACAAAUAGGGCCUAAUUCAACAUCAGGGUAAACGAGAGGGGUUAGCGUGCAAAUCUCCCAAUUUAAGUAAACACACAUGAAUUUGGCUUGCCAAACGGUCAACAUGCAGGCCUUUACCCCUUGGAACGGCACAGUUUUCUAGGCCAGAUAUUAAAACCCCCAUUUCCAUUUAUUUACCUUUCAAAAAAGCUAAUAAUCUUUAAACUCCUUUUUUUUUAAAAAAAAAAAAAGAACCCUUAAUCUGCUCUGUUAGGGUUGGUUCAACACACUGCCGCCAAACCACCAUCAGUUCGAUGGCCGACUACGCGAAAUACCAGACUCUAUCGACGGGGGUUGCAACCACAGAGAUCUGUUAAAUCACUUCUUUCCCUUUUUUUUUUUUAAAAAAAACUUCAAAUCGUAUUUCACUCUUUCAAAAAAAAAAGAGCAAAACUUCAAAGUGAAACGUUCGACCCUCGCCUUCGAGAUACUUGAGUGUUCAUCGGUGUCGUUUCAGAUGUUUCUUUCUUUUAUUGCAAAAAAAAAAGAGCGCAAGCAAAUGAGGAGAGAAACAAAAGAAUAAACGGACUUGAAAAAAAUCACCUCUUGAUUUGAUGAUUUCUGCCUAUUCUAUUUCUUUGUUGUAUGUGCGUUUUUGUGUGUAUCUGAAAAAAAUACAUGGCUUAUUACAUGGCUUUUUAUAGCCGAAAAUAGAGAAAAAUGAAAAAAGAAAAUACAAAUUUCUUGUUUUUUUCUCUUUGCUGUGUUGCGAUGCUGUUCUUGUCUUCAUGUAGGUACAGGGGAGGACGUGGAGCAUGGAGGUGGUACGGUCGCUGGAGGCUUGUACGGCGCUGGAGGCUGCUGCGGCGCUGAGCGAAUGGGGCUAAGGUUAGGGUUUCCAAGAACUUUCAAAAGAUUGGGCCUAUCAGGAUCUAUUUUUGGGUCUAGGUUAAUAUUAGUUGUUGGGCCAUUGAGUAUUGGGCUAAAGUCUGUAUAUAGACAUUUAAUGGACUAUAUAUUAUUGUAUUUUUCAUUUUGUUUUCGUGGUUUUUGUUUGAUUUGUGUUUGCACGGGCCCGGGCCAAAAUUGGGGAUUACAGUAAUGAUGUUCGAUUGGUUGGCUCUUAUUGGUUUCCAGAUUAACUGAAAUAAUUUCGUUUAAUUAGAUUGUUUUAUGAAAUUUAAUGCAUAUGAUGCAAUGUAAUGCAAAUGCAUGAAAUGAAUGCAAAAAGAGGCAUUGACUCUGAUUCAAUUCUAUUAGAAUAACUUUAUUAGAAAACAAAUUUCUUUACAUAAGAAGAAUUACAUAAACGGCUUUGCUCUAAUACUCAAAGUCAAAACCUUCCUAAGAAGCCAAGCUGACUCUUGAACCCGAUCCGAUUCUGAUUCAUACUUCAAGCUUAGCACGUCAGCCUGAAC
Molecule: long non-coding RNA, 13882 nt
Filed under: Gossypium barbadense (sea-island cotton)
Lineage: Eukaryota; Viridiplantae; Streptophyta; Magnoliopsida; Malvales; Malvaceae
Description: long non-coding RNA (GBAR_LNC011627)
Source: RNAcentral